UAUAGAUGGAGAGCAGGGGAAAUUGCAAACAAAAAAUACUUUCUGAGUGUUUAGUCUCACCUUAAUCAUACACACAUUGACUCCAACAUAGGAGUAUCCUAAUUAAUCCCAGUUGAGAGACCAGAAGAAUGUAGAACGAGAAUGAGCUUGUAUGUAUUAAAAGUUAAAUAUAAAAAUGUAGGUUUAAAGAGGCAGAAGACAGGACACACAAUCAGCAUAGUCUAUAGUUGGGCAUAAACAAUGAGUAAUGGCCAGAGGAAAAACAGUCUGCUAAAGCCAGGAGUUGGGUAAGUAUUGCAAAAAGUCCUUCAGCGUAAUGUCAAACUACACAGUGCUAACUGACAACUCUUCCUCUGGAUAGGUGGGCCAGCAGGGACAUGAUCUACACACCAAAACAACUCCAUUAUGCCAAAGUUGUUGUGCUUAUAUUGCUCCUUUUAAUCAAAACAAAUAUUAACAAGACAUAUGUGUCAGUAUACAUAAACUCAGGAGAACACCUUAUCACACAUGCCAUAAGAGACAGGCUGAUCAUGGUGUCGCCAGUCAGGAGGAGUGAAUCUCCACAGAAUACCAGUAGAAAAC
Molecule: non-coding RNA, 582 nt
Organism: Pelobates cultripes (western spadefoot toad)
Lineage: Eukaryota; Metazoa; Chordata; Amphibia; Anura; Pelobatidae
Source: the annotation of a GenBank genome assembly